Long non-coding RNA from Numida meleagris (helmeted guineafowl), 1696 nucleotides. RefSeq lists it as uncharacterized. The record is from RefSeq and is a predicted model, not a curated record. Lineage: Eukaryota; Metazoa; Chordata; Aves; Galliformes; Numididae. The transcript has 3 exons.
CGCGCGGGCUCUGCCGGGAGCUGUAGGCCGCGGUGCUGUGCCCCCGCGGAGCGCUCGCGAGGAGCCGGCGUUCCUUCGCUUUGCCAAAUCAGAGCCCGGAGCGGCUCUCCGCGUUAUUUUUGGCCGGGCGGGUUGCCGUGGCGGCCUGGAGACGGCAAUUGGGAUUGAUAAGAAAUUGUCAAAAAGCACUGAGGUUCAUGGCAGGACAAAGAAGAUGGACUUGCUACAUUCAGUAGCGAAGACUUAACAACAAAGGAAAAUAAGCAUUGCUGCAGAGAUCCUGGGCCACGCAGCAUACCCACAGCCAAACUUCAGAUCUCCGGGCUUCUUGUUUCUGUCCUCCUUCCCUGUUUAUUUCCUUUGCGCUGCAAAAACGUUGUGUGCAGCUGGGAUACAGCUGGCAUGAAGGGGCCCAUGUGUAACAUCCUCAGCACACCAGCACUCACCGAUGUGGCCUUGGUUACAAUUGAAAGCCAUCCCGGAUCUUUCCCCUUCCCUCAUAUAUGUAGAAGCCUGCACUGAGCCUGGUGGAGCGGCCUCAACCUGGGCAGCAUUCCCAGGGGAUUUUAGAUAUGGAAGAAAGAGCUCAGACAGCUAAGCAGAGAUGAUUAAUGAUGUCCUAUCCUACCCCAGAUGAAUAGCAGAAACUCCAUGUCCGCAUACGUGCUCUGAGCCCACAGAAACUGUCCCAUACUAAGCAGUGGCCACAGUGGGUGCAGAGCUUAUAGAUAUGGUGCAGAACUUUGUGUGUGUCAACAUUCAAUCCUUUUUGACUAUCAGGGAGAUGUGCAAGCUUAAAAUUAUUCUCAGUGCUGUCUUCUUGGAGAGCCCCUCUGAUUCCUGCAAAAACCUGUACCUGCAGGCACUGGUGAUAGAAUGACUUAUAGGUAAGCUUGGAGGGCUCUUCCAUGGACGACUGGGGACCACUGGGACAAGUGCAUUUCAUGGAGUCAUAGAAUCGUGGAAUCAUUAAGGCCUGAAAAGAUCUCCAAGAUCCCCAAGUCCAAGCCCAAACCACCCCCACCAUGUCCAUUGACCAUGUCCCCAUGUGCCACAUCUCCAUGGUUCUCAAACACCUCCAGGGAUGGGGACUCCACUGUUCCCCUGAGCAGCCUGUGCCAAUGUCUGAUCACUCUUUUGGAGAGGAUUUUUUUCCUGAAACAAACCACCUCAAAGCUCAAGGUGUUCGUUUUCCCCCCCAGCUUUAUUCCUUGGCACUUCUUCCACAGGCACCAGCACUAUUAUCCCCAAACCCAAAGCACUUAGCACGUUCUCAGCCUGUUGCUGGCUGUGGCGAAGCAAGAACCUGGCCAUUGGUACAAUCAUUCCUUUAACUAUCAGUGCUCGUCUGGAUGCUGCUAUACACUGGCUGGUUUUGUUUGCUAUCCUAGAGAACUCUAUAGAAUUGCUAAUGUUGGAAAAGUCCACUAUUAAACAAGUCGCACCCGAACCCAUACCCACUAUGAUGCCUGUCACAGAUGUACAGAAGCAUCCCUGGCUGAGAUCUGCUUGCACUGUGGCAAUGCUACAUCCAGCUGCAGAGAAGCAGUAGUGAGAAUAUGACAGCAGUACUAAUGUGCUUUGCAAUGAGUCAUUAAUAAAAAGAAAAGUGCUCUGAGGUGACAGAGUUCCUAUUAAUCUUAACAGCAUUAGGCUGUUUUGUUAAGUUUAAGAGAUAAUUGCUAUAGUGACACGU